ACACAGGUGCACUAGGGUUCCGAUCACGCGUGGCGUGGUGUCUGGUCCGAGAGUGUGCCGGCCUCAUCGCAGGCUCCACGGAGGGACAAAAGCCCGGGAGAA
This 102-nucleotide small RNA is filed under the name Burkholderiales bacterium. RNAcentral's name for it is "Guanidine-I sequence". It matches the Rfam family "Guanidine-I riboswitch aptamer". Rfam says of the family: This family represents a conserved RNA structure found upstream of the ykkC and yxkD genes in Bacillus subtilis and related genes in other bacteria. The function of this family is unclear although it has been suggested that it may function to switch on efflux pumps and detoxification systems in response to harmful environmental molecules. The record is from RNAcentral. Lineage: Bacteria; Pseudomonadati; Pseudomonadota; Betaproteobacteria; Burkholderiales.